GACUCCGUAGCUCAGUGGAUAGAGCAUCCGCCUUCUAAGCGGACGGUCGAGCGUUCGAAUCGCCCCGGGGUCGCCA
RNAcentral lists this transfer RNA (76 nucleotides) under Erysipelotrichaceae bacterium. RNAcentral describes it as "tRNA-Arg". It matches the Rfam family "tRNA". Rfam says of the family: Transfer RNA (tRNA) molecules are approximately 80 nucleotides in length. Their secondary structure includes four short double-helical elements and three loops (D, anti-codon, and T loops). Further hydrogen bonds mediate the characteristic L-shaped molecular structure. tRNAs have two regions of fundamental functional importance: the anti-codon, which is responsible for specific mRNA codon recognition, and the 3' end, to which the tRNAs corresponding amino acid is attached (by aminoacyl-tRNA synthetases). tRNAs cope with the degeneracy of the genetic code in two manners: having more than one tRNA (with a specific anti-codon) for a particular amino acid; and 'wobble' base-pairing, i.e. permitting non-standard base-pairing at the 3rd anti-codon position. The record is from RNAcentral. Lineage: Bacteria; Bacillati; Bacillota; Erysipelotrichia; Erysipelotrichales; Erysipelotrichaceae.